UUUCAAACCAUUUUUGCUCGGGACAGGACUGGCACGGUACCAGUGAACACCUCAAUGCCACUCCCUCCUCUUCUGUUGUCUAUCCCUGGAGACCUCCUCAGAUGGAAGAGACAAAUGCAGUGAAGUCAACCUGUUUAAGAUGGUGAGACUGAAAAUAAAAAUAACUACUGCUUGUUAGGAUUACUAGGAUGAAGGGGCUUCCGAACAAUUUUUGAGGGUGCUGACAACCUAUUGUGGAAGGAGUCAUGAAGACAGUUCACUGAAUGGAUCUGGAACCGAGGCUUUGGAAUGUAACUUUUCCUGGUGGAGAAGACUGGACUUACGGGAACUGGCCUUGAUAUGUGAUGGCCCCCAGGAACCUCCCAGCUGUCUUCAGGUGUGGUACUUGACAUAUUUUUAUCGAUGAUCUUCUCCUGUUGAGUGGUUUCAGGAUUGCUGAGCUAGGUUUGUUGAUUUGCUAAUUAAGGCCUUUGUCUAUGGCUCCAGGUGCUGGAGUCUGAUGAAAACACCCCUUUCCUGGCAGUGGCUAAAAUGUUCCCUUAUUUUAUUUCUUUAUUUUAUACAACCUUCUUAUACCAUAUAAGCACAAAUAUCACACAGUUAUGUAAAGGUAUCUUAGAUACUAAUCUUGUGCCCCUUUCCUCCCUUCCACCAAAUUUCUAGCUGCACCAUCCCCCAUCACCAAAGCACUUGCAGCCCAUCUCCUCCUGCUGUGGGACCAGGAAGGGCAGGAGCAGACUUGGGGCACUGGUGCAUAUGGAGGAAGAACAUCAAGUAUUUCUUCCCAUCACCAGUCCUUAUAUUACUAUAUUCAAGUAAGAACAACCUUGAGUUGGGGGUGGGGGUCCUGUAACUUGCCAUCCCCCUAUGUCAAAACUCUUGACUGUAAAGCUCUGGCACGAGUACCUUGCCUCCUGCUACUCUUUCAAGUAUUACUCCAUGCUACUGCAACUUUACUGAGCUAAGAGGGAAAAGGAAAGCAUGAAUACCAGGACCCAAGCAAAAAGUCCAAACCUGUCGUCCUCACAAGGCACCAUAAUCCUGGAACAUUGUCAAAAUGCUGUGGAUUCAUGCCUAGCAAAUUAGCCUGACAUCCACAUGAUGACUGGACUGGGGCUGUACCUCCCCAUUUUUGGUCCCCCACCAAAAUUCUCUUUUCCUAAUUCCCAAACCACUGUUCCCAUCUAAUCAGGCAGUAUUCAGCCUAGGCACACUAUUCCUAGUGAAUGCAAUAUGCUAUGCAAUAACAUUCUCAGAGGCAGAUGGGGUUUCAGGCACAUGUUCUCUUAUUCUCUGUUCCUAAGCAGAAAUCCAUCCUUUAGCACCCAAACAUGAGUCAAUACAAUGUAUAGAACAAGUCCUGAAACCCACUCAUAAAAACAAAAAAAAAUUACAGAAUCAGUCCAAAAUAUCCACAGCUCCCAUCCCUGUUAGAGAGGAUGCUGUUCAGAAUAAUAUCGUGCAACGGGCUAAAAAUAUUUCAAGUGAUGUGGCAGCAGCUCCACCAAUGAAAUAAUUCAGAGCAAGAUUCUCUAAAGUCCCAUUGGGGAUACCCUGUAACCAGUCUGACACUGGUGUAGUGGCUGCAGUACCCUACUCUAAGCAAGGGAGCUUGGGCUAUGCCUGCAAAAAAGAGAGAGAGAUCAGCUCUUUGGGGCCAGCCAGCUGCUGGUAUAAUUCCCUCUGGCAGAGGUCCUCUGACCACAGCCUAACCAGGGAGCCAUGCUUGCACUGGCACUGAGCCCACCCUGAGCUUGGCCAGCCAGGUACAUGCUUCUCCUGCCACUGCGCCUGUGGAGGAGUGAGAAGGAAAGCAUGCCAAGUCAUGACUCACGAAAGAAAAUAACUCAGUGAAUAUCAACAUUACGGAAGCCUCUGACAUUGGAAAAGUCUCAGGCAUGGCCAAGUUGAUUUAUCACACAAUACAGUUGUUUUAUAGCUUCUGUUUCACCCACUCACUAGAACCUGUGUGAAUUGACACCUCAUGGUUAGAAGUGUAUGCGUGUAUUUUCUUUUUCUCUUACGAUUCAGCUUGUUUGAGGAUCUUGUGAUUUUUCAGUUUUUUCUUCCUGCUCAAAAAUAUGUGUGUUUUUAACAUGGGCUAUAUAUUGCCCCUCGAAGAAACUAUCAUCACCUUGACUGCAGUCCCAUCCACAUUUAAAAAACAUUAAAUAAAACCAAACAAAAAAGCCAUGAAAUCACUGCUUCUCCUCCCUCAGCUUCCGUUUUCUGAAGAAACAUACUAUUUUUUUUCCUGCUGAAAACAAGGAAUGCAGGGGAUCUUAGUCACUGUCUUUGUUUUUUUUCCCAACCCAAACUGCCUCAGUCUAUUUGCUGAACUGCUUGGCAGAAACAGUUGCUCAAAAAUUAGACAAUCUGUAAAAGAAGAAAUUAUCCAUUCUUCUUGCUACCCUGAUGGGAUUCAGAACAUUCCCUGCUCUUCAGUGGGCUAUAUAUUUUUGCAUGGAAUAACAAAAAAGAAAAUAAAUAAAUAAAAAAGGAGGAAACUAAAGUGUUACUUGCCAGGUGUUAUUCAGCAAUGCUGAGCAAUCAAAUCAACUUGGAUUCCAAAAAGUGUAGAAGAAAUGACGACUGUGAAAGAGCCCUGAGCAUGUCAACUUGCCUCAUGUAUGGAGGAAAACAUUAAUGUCUGCCAAAAGGAGAAAUAUUUUUACAGCAAAGUAGCAGCAGUCCUCUGAGCCUUUUGCACUCCGUACUUCAAGAAAAUCAAUUUUCUUUGCAAAGUGGUCAAAACCACUCCUCCUCCCCUUGGACUUUUGUCUGUGGUGGAUUUAGCACUAUCUUUGUUCCUUGACUAGAAACCCCUGACUUCAAACGCCAGGCCACAGCAACCUUGAACAGCACUGAUGGACCAUAGCAAGCCUACAGCAAAAGACCUCUCUUCACAUUCCCCUGCCCUUUGGAAAUACCUCUCCUCAGCAAAGCUGGGUGCUUUUCAAGGGCUAAUUAAGGCUGCAACUCCCCUGCAAGGCAGAUGAAGGUCACAUGGGAAGAAGGACAACCUACUUGUUUUCUUGUUGCAAAUACCUCUUUGAAUAAAAUUCUUCUUUCUUUGAUUAUUUAUUUGCAGAAGUA
Catharus ustulatus (Swainson's thrush) is the source of this 3096-nucleotide long non-coding RNA. RefSeq lists it as uncharacterized. The record is from RefSeq and is a predicted model, not a curated record. The transcript is spliced from 4 exons. Lineage: Eukaryota; Metazoa; Chordata; Aves; Passeriformes; Turdidae.